AACCCUAUAACUCAGUUGGUAGAGUAGCACACCUUUAAUGUGCGAGUCGCAGGUUCGAGCCCUGCUGGGGUUA
RNAcentral lists this transfer RNA (73 nucleotides) under Caudoviricetes sp. RNAcentral describes it as "tRNA-Lys". It matches the Rfam family "tRNA". From Rfam's summary of the family: Transfer RNA (tRNA) molecules are approximately 80 nucleotides in length. Their secondary structure includes four short double-helical elements and three loops (D, anti-codon, and T loops). Lineage: Duplodnaviria; Heunggongvirae; Uroviricota; Caudoviricetes. The record is from RNAcentral.